CCUACGGGAGGCAGCAGUGGGGGAUAUUGCUCAAUGGGGGGAACCCUGAAGCAGCGACGUCGCGUGGGUGAAGAAGGGCCUAGGCGCGUAAAGCCCUGUCUGUAGGGAAGAAAAUGACGGUACCUGAAGAAGAAGCCCCGGCUAACUACGUGCCAGCAGCCGCGGUAAUACGUAGGGGGCAAGCGUUAUCCGGAUUUACUGGGUGUAAAGGGGGCGCAGACGGGGAUGCAAGCCAGGAGUGAAAGCCCGGGGCCCAACCCCGGGACUGCUCUUGAAACUGCGUGGCUGGAGUGCAGGAGGGGCAGGCGGAAUGCCUGGUGUAGCGGUGAAAUGCGUAGAUAUCAGGAGGAACUCCGGUGGCGAAGGCAGCCUGCUGGACUGCAACUGACGUUGAUGCCCGAAAGCGUGGGUAUCAAACAGGAUUAGAUACCCGAGUAGUC
This 440-nucleotide ribosomal RNA is filed under the name uncultured bacterium. RNAcentral describes it as "partial 16S ribosomal RNA". It matches the Rfam family "Bacterial small subunit ribosomal RNA", at positions 338 to 795 of the family's 1533-position model. The record is from RNAcentral.